CCUACGGGAGUCAGCAGUGAGGAAUAUUGGUCAAUGGGCGCUAGCCUGAACCAGCCAAGUAGCGUGAAGGAUGACUGCCCUAUGGGUUGUAAACUUCUUUUAUAUGGGAAUAAAGUGCAGUAUGUAUACUGCUUUGCAUGUACCUUAUGAAUAAGGAUCGGCUAACUCCGUGCCAGCAGCCGAGGUAAUACGGAGGAUCCGAGCGUUACCCGGAUUUAUUGGGUUUAACGGGAGCGUAGGCGGUUUGUUAAGUCAGUUGUGAAAGUUUGCGGCUCAACCGUAGAAUUGCAGUUGAUACUGGCAGCCUUGAGUACAGUAGAGGUAGGCGGAAUGCGUGGUGUAGCGGUGAAAUGCUUAGAUAUCACGCAGAACUCCGAUUGCGAAGGCAGCCUGCUGGACUGUAACUGACGCUGAUGCACGAAAGCGCGGGUAUCGAACAGGAUUAGAUACCACUGUAGUC
RNAcentral lists this ribosomal RNA (460 nucleotides) under uncultured bacterium. RNAcentral's name for it is "partial 16S ribosomal RNA". It matches the Rfam family "Bacterial small subunit ribosomal RNA", at positions 338 to 795 of the family's 1533-position model. The record is from RNAcentral.